RNAcentral lists this small RNA (496 nucleotides) under Pongo abelii (Sumatran orangutan). RNAcentral describes it as "processed transcript". Lineage: Eukaryota; Metazoa; Chordata; Mammalia; Primates; Hominidae. The record is from RNAcentral.
AUUCUUACAGAGCUGGUCCCCACAGUGCCGCCCCUGGGCGUAAACUCCUCCAUACAGGGAGUGUAGAUGAUGGGCUGACCUAAGAACGGUUUCCAAAUGGUCUUUUACACCUCUGCCUCCCACCGCACUUUAGCCCAGGAUAACAGAUUUUCCUCGUGCGAUUUCAAAUUUGCAAGGGAAUCUUGAAUAUUUUUUAGUAAUGAGAGAGGGUAGAUUAUAUGUCCUAAUCCCAGCCUAAUCAGAUUAACAGCAACUUCUGGACAUUCAGUACCAGGAACUGUUUUAGGUGCUGUGGAGAGGAGUUAAAAAUGAAACAAAAAUUAUUGCCUUCAUGAGGCUUACAUUAGUGGACAGAGUCCAAAAAAAAAAGUGACAACGUAAUGCGCCACUGCGACACAAAGCAAAGCAAAAUCAUACUGGUCCCAAGUUUGACAUCGACAUGAUGGUUUCACUUCUGAGGCAAGAAAAUGCAAGAGACAUUUGUGUGAUCCAGGUU